GCUCCCGUGGUGUAGUCCGGCCAAUCAUUCCGGCCUUUCGAGCCGAAGACCCGGGUUCAAAUCCCGGCGGGAGCA
Molecule: transfer RNA, 75 nt
Filed under: Thermoplasmata archaeon
Lineage: Archaea; Methanobacteriati; Thermoplasmatota; Thermoplasmata
Also listed under: 2 other names
Description: tRNA-Glu
Rfam family: tRNA
About the family: Transfer RNA (tRNA) molecules are approximately 80 nucleotides in length. Their secondary structure includes four short double-helical elements and three loops (D, anti-codon, and T loops).
Source: RNAcentral